AUAGCAAUAUAAAUGUUCUCAUAAAUCUUUAUUUAAGUAAUAUUUUCCGUGAAACAGAAUGCUAACAAUAGUUUAUGGAUUAGCCUUUGAGGAAGUCCAGAGUGACAAAACGCAUCAGGCGGGGCCUAGUGACGUCAGCCAAGGUGCGCCCGAGAAGGAAUACGAUGUGAGGAGGGGAAUAUGCCGGCUUGAACAAACUCAGCCCCCAACACAACGGAUCGGGUAGAGACGCUUGGAAACUGGAAACAACUGCUAAGUGCCCAUUUUGCAUGUUUUUAUGGCUGCGGAACUCGGGGGCAAUUAUCUCCUAUCUAAACCGUGGAUUUGUGGGCAAUCCAGCCUAAACGCUAGAAGAACAGAAGCAGAAGGCAGUUUCCUUAGAUAAUGAUGGAUCCCCUCAUGUGUUUUGCAUGCAGAAUUCUACAGGCUGCUUGCAACUACCUGGUGGGGAAUCAUUGGUCAUCAUGGUUUUAAAUUUUGGCGUGGUCAGGAGUGUUCGUGUGGGAGGUGUUCAGCAAGGGCAAGAUACCAUUUGAACAUUUUUCAACUCCGUGGCUGUGGAUAAAAUCUCAGCUGGACUGAGGCUCUUCAUACAUGCUGAUGAACAACUGCUGGGCAAUCUAUUGGGAAUGUGUUGGGGCUGAGACACCGUCUAGGGAUCAAUGUUUUCGCUGCAUGUAGGAGACGCAAGGAAUAUAAUCCUCAAGGUGAGGGCCCUGGGAUGUUUCCUCCUCAUUCACUGGAACAUCGCUAUUGGGAUUAGUUAAUUGAGGCUGUUGUAGCUCCACGUUGACUGAUUCCGCCUCCUCGGCUUCUUCAGCUUCAGUCAGGUAUGAAAGAACAGCUUUAUAUUUUCAUCUGCCUUACCUCAGUAUGCCGGUGCCGACAUGAGAUGCCGCAAACUUUGGCGCCCAUCUUGAAACUCCUGUAAAAGAAAAGAAAGUUUGCCUUUGAGGAAGUCCAGAGUGACAUAACGCAUCAGGCGGGGCCUAGUGACGUCAGCCAAGGUGCGCCCGAGAAGGAAUACGAUGUGAGGAGGGGAAUAUGCCGCCUUGAACAAACUCAGCCCCCAACACAACGGAUCGGGUAGAGACGCUUGGAAACUGGAAACAACUGCUAAGAGCCCAUUUUGCAUGUUUUAUCCCAUCUACUUUUCAUCGUUCCAAUUUUUUUUUGAAACUGUAAUGCUGUAAUUAAGCCCUAUCAUCCAGACUGCAGCUGCAAUUGCAGGUCUGUGAAUGAACAGACAAAAUCAGAAAUACCCCUUGCAUAUCAUUCCAGCAAGCCCCCUGCAGGGCUGUGGAACUCGGGGGCAAUUGUCUCCUAUCUAAACCGUGGAUUUGUGGGCAAUCCGGCCUAAAUGCUGGAAGUAAAGAAGCAGAAGGCAGUUUCCUGAGAUAAUGAUGGAUCCCCUCAUGUGUUUUACAUGCAGAAUUCUACAGGUUAGUAAAGGGAAAGACUAUUUUGGGAAAUAGAAAAUAUUAGAACCAGUUAUUGCACACUUAUUGCGAGUGGCGGCGAGUCAAAUGCAGAGACAUAAAAUCAUAAAAUGUCUAAUAAUAAAGGUUGUCUUAAGGACCAAGGAUUAUGUUAAAUAAUGUGCAUCAAGUACAAUGAGAUAAAAUGCUUCUGUGCAAUUAAUAUUUCAGAAACUUUACUAUAAUAAAUAAGUAAAAUGACACAUGAAACAAUGACAGAUUUCAGUAAGUAAAAAAGAACCAUUUUUAAAUAUUCUCUUUGUAAUGGAGCCAUACAACCCAAAGAAUUGGGGAUUAAGCCAC
This is a long non-coding RNA of Xenopus laevis (African clawed frog), 1781 nucleotides long. RefSeq lists it as uncharacterized. The record is from RefSeq and is a predicted model, not a curated record. The transcript is spliced from 11 exons. Lineage: Eukaryota; Metazoa; Chordata; Amphibia; Anura; Pipidae.